AAUUCUAAUAGAAAUGUUUUGGAAAAGCAUACCAUAGACGGUGAAAGUCCAGUAUAUGAAAGAAAGUUGAGAUUAGUGGUAUCCAGAGUAGUACGAGACACGAGAAAUCUCGUAUGAAUGAGCGGGGACCAUCCCGUAAGGCUAAAUACUACUUGGUGACCGAUAGUGAACUAGUACCGUGAGGGAAAGGUGAAAAGAACCCCGGGAGGGGAGUGAAAUAGAACAUGAAACCCUAUGUUUACAAGCAGACAAAGCACUUUAUGAGUGCGAUGUCGUACUUUUUGUAGAACGGUCCAGCGAGUUAUUGUAUGGCGAGGUUAAGUAUUACGUAAGGUACGGAGCCGAAGCGAAAGCGAGUCUGAAUAGUGCGAAAAGUC
RNAcentral lists this ribosomal RNA (377 nucleotides) under human gut metagenome. Its description in RNAcentral is "bacterial LSU rRNA". It matches the Rfam family "Bacterial large subunit ribosomal RNA", at positions 325 to 701 of the family's 2925-position model. The record is from RNAcentral.